RNAcentral lists this ribosomal RNA (806 nucleotides) under Flagellimonas marinaquae. Its description in RNAcentral is "bacterial SSU rRNA". It matches the Rfam family "Bacterial small subunit ribosomal RNA", at positions 630 to 1446 of the family's 1533-position model. The record is from RNAcentral. Lineage: Bacteria; Pseudomonadati; Bacteroidota; Flavobacteriia; Flavobacteriales; Flavobacteriaceae.
AUACUGCAGGUCUUGAGUCAUGGUGGGGUUGCCGGAACAUGUGGUGUAGCGGUGAAAUGCAUAGAUAUCACAUAGAACACCGAUCGCGAAGGCAGGUGACCAACCAUGUACUGACGCUGAUGGACGAAAGCGUGGGUAGCGAACGGGAUUAGAUACCCCGGUAGUCCACGCCGUAAACGAUGGAUACUAGCUGUGGGGACUUCGGUCUCCGUGGCCAAGCGAAAGUGAUAAGUAUCCCACCUGGGGAGUACGUUCGCAAGAAUGAAACUCAAAGGAAUUGACGGGGGCCCGCACAAGCGGUGGAGCAUGUGGUUUAAUUCGAUGAUACGCGAGGAACCUUACCAGGGCUUAAAUGCAGGCUGCAUGGGGUAGAGAUACCCCUUUCUUCGGACCGCCUGCAAGGUGCUGCAUGGUUGUCGUCAGCUCGUGCCGUGAGGUGUCAGGUUAAGUCCUAUAACGAGCGCAACCCCUACCGUUAGUUGCCAGCAUGUCAAGAUGGGGACUCUAACGGGACUGCCGGUGCAAACCGUGAGGAAGGUGGGGACGACGUCAAAUCAUCACGGCCCUUACGUCCUGGGCUACACACGUGCUACAAUGGCCGGUACAGAGGGAAGCCACCCCGCAAGGGGGCGCGGAUCUACAAAACCGGUCACAGUUCGGAUCGGGGUCUGCAACUCGACCCCGUGAAGCUGGAAUCGCUAGUAAUCGGAUAUCAGCCAUGAUCCGGUGAAUACGUUCCCGGGCCUUGUACACACCGCCCGUCAAGCCAUGGAAGCCGGGAGUGCCUGAAGUCCGUCACCGAGAGG